AGGUAAGCUACUAAGAGCGAAUGGUGGAUGCCUUGACUGGUAAAGGCGAUGAAGGACGUACUAGACUGCGAUAAGCUACGGGGAGCUGUCAAGAAGCUUUGAUCCGUAGAUUUCCGAAUGGGGCAACCCAAUGUAUAGAGAUAUACAUUACCUAUAUAGGAGCGAACGAGGGGAAUUGAAACAUCUUAGUACCCUCAGGAAAAGAAAUCAAUAGAGAUUGCGUCAGUAGCGGCGAGCGAAAGCGCAAGAGGGCAAACCCAGUGCUUGCACUGGGGGUUGUAGGACUGCAAUGUGCAAGAGGUAAGUUUAGCAGAACAUUCUGGAAAGUAUAACCAUAGAGGGUGAUAGUCCCGUAUGCGAAAAACAAACCUUAGCUAGCAGUAUCCUGAGUAGGGCGGGACACGAGGAAUCCUGUCUGAAUCCGGGUCGACCACGAUCCAACCCUAAAUACUAAUACCAGAUCGAUAGUGCACAAGUACCGUGAGGGAAAGGUGAAAAGAACUGAGGUGAUCAGAGUGAAAUAGAACCUGAAACCAUUUGCUUACAAUCAUUCAGAGCCCUAUGUAGCAAUACAGGGUGAUGGACUGCCUUUUGCAUAAUGAGCCUGCGAGUUGUGGUGUCUGGCAAGGUUAAGCAAACGCGAAGCCGUAGCGAAAGCGAGUCUGAAUAGGGCGCUUAGUCAGAUGCUGCAGACCCGAAACGAAGUGAUCUAUCCAUGAGCAAGUUGAAGCUAGUGUAAGAACUAGUGGAGGACUGAACCCAUAGGCGUUGAAAAGCCCCGGGAUGACUUGUGGAUAGGGGUGAAAGGCCAAUCAAACUUCGUGAUAGCUGGUUCUCUCCGAAAUAUAUUUAGGUAUAGCGUUGUGUCGUAAUAUAAGGGGGUAGAGCACUGAAUGGGCUAGGGCAUACACCAAUGUACCAAACCCUAUCAAACUCCGAAUACCUUAUAUGUAAUCACAGCAGUCAGGCGGCGAGUGAUAAAAUCCGUCGUCAAGAGGGAAACAACCCAGACUACCAGCUAAGGUCCCUAAAUCUUACUUAAGUGGAAAACGAUGUGAAGUUACUUAAACAACCAGGAGGUUGGCUUAGAAGCAGCCAUCCUUUAAAGAAAGCGUAAUAGCUCACUGGUCUAGUGAUUUUGCGCGGAAAAUAUAACGGGGCUAAAGUAAGUACCGAAGCUGUAGACUUGCACACAACUUAGAUUAUUUAAGUUUAGAAUAUGAGAAACUAAGUUAUAU
Molecule: ribosomal RNA, 1238 nt
Filed under: Campylobacter jejuni
Lineage: Bacteria; Pseudomonadati; Campylobacterota; Epsilonproteobacteria; Campylobacterales; Campylobacteraceae
Description: partial 23S ribosomal RNA
Rfam family: Bacterial large subunit ribosomal RNA
Source: RNAcentral